CCUACGGGAGGCAGCAGUGGGGGAUAUUGCACAAUGGGGGAAACCCUGAUGCAGCGACGCCGCGUGGGUGAAGAAGCGCCUCGGCGCGUAAAGCCCUGUCAGCAGGGAAGAAAAUGACGGUACCUGAAGAAGAAGCCCCGGCUAACUACGUGCCAGCAGCCGCGGUAAUACGUAGGGGGCAAGCGUUAUCCGGAUUUACUGGGUGUAAAGGGGGCGCAGACGGCGAUGCAAGCCAGGAGUGAAAGCCCGGGGCCCAACCCCGGGACUGCUCUUGGAACUGCGUGGCUAGAGUGCAGGAGGGGCAGGCGGAAUGCGUGGGGGAGCGGUGAAAUGCGUAGAUAUCAGGAGGAACACCGGUGGCGAAGGCGGCCUGCUGGACUGCAACUGACGUUGAGGCCCGAAAGCGUGGGGAGCAAACAGGAUUAGAUACCCCUGUAGUC
RNAcentral lists this ribosomal RNA (440 nucleotides) under uncultured bacterium. RNAcentral describes it as "partial 16S ribosomal RNA". It matches the Rfam family "Bacterial small subunit ribosomal RNA", at positions 338 to 795 of the family's 1533-position model. The record is from RNAcentral.